AUACGGAGGAUGCGAGCGUUAUCCGGAUUUAUUGGGUUUAAAGGGUGCGUAGGCUGUGCGUUAAGUCAGGGGUGAAAUGCCGUCGCUCAACGACGGAGCUGCCCUUGAUACUGGCGUGCUGGAGUACGGAUGCCGUUGGAGGAAUGAGUGGUGUAGCGGUGAAAUGCUUAGAUAUCACUCAGAACACCGAUUGCGAAGGCAUCUGACGAAUCCGUCACUGACGCUGAGGCACGAAAGCGUGGGGAUAGAACAGGAUUAGAUACCCUGGUAUUCCACGCCGUAAACGAUGAUGACUAACCGUCGGCGAUAGACAGCCGGUGGCCAAGCGAAAGCGAUAAGUCAUCCACCUGGGGAGUACGUCGGCAACGAUGAAACUCAAAGGAAUCGACGGGG
This 393-nucleotide ribosomal RNA is filed under the name uncultured bacterium. Its description in RNAcentral is "partial 16S ribosomal RNA". It matches the Rfam family "Bacterial small subunit ribosomal RNA", at positions 523 to 918 of the family's 1533-position model. The record is from RNAcentral.